AGGAAUAUUGGUCAAUGGGCGUAAGCCUGAACCAGCCAAGUCGCGUGAGGGAGGACGGCCCUACGGGUUGUAAACCUCUUUUGCCGGGGGACAAACGGCGGCACGCGUGCCGUCCUGAGGGUACCCGGAGAAAAAGCAUCGGCUAACUCCGUGCCAGCAGCCGCGGUAAUACGGAGGAUGCGAGCGUUAUCCGGAUUUAUUGGGUUUAAAGGGUGCGUAGGCGGUUUGAUAAGUUAGAGGUGAAAUGUCGGGGCUCAACCCCGAAACUGCCUCUAAUACUGUUGGACUAGAGAAUAGUUGCGGUAGGCGGAAUGUAUGGUGUAGCGGUGAAAUGCUUAGAGAUCAUACAGAACACCGAUUGCGAAGGCAGCUUACCAAACUAUAUCUGACGUUGAGGCACGAAAGCGUGGGUAGCAAACAG
RNAcentral lists this ribosomal RNA (421 nucleotides) under uncultured bacterium. RNAcentral's name for it is "bacterial SSU rRNA". It matches the Rfam family "Bacterial small subunit ribosomal RNA", at positions 357 to 775 of the family's 1533-position model. The record is from RNAcentral.